Molecule: ribosomal RNA, 358 nt
Filed under: uncultured bacterium
Lineage: Bacteria
Description: partial 16S ribosomal RNA
Rfam family: Bacterial small subunit ribosomal RNA
Source: RNAcentral
CCUACGGGUGGCAGCAGUGAGGAAUAUUGGUCAAUGGGCGGGAGCCUGAACCAGCCAAGUCGCGUGAGGGAAGACGGUCCUAUGGAUUGUAAACCUCUUUAGGCGGGGAGCAAUGCCGGGCACGCGUGCCCGGCGGGAGAGUACCCGCAGAAUAAGCAUCGGCUAAAUCCGUGCCAGCAGCCGCGGGAAUACGGAGGAUGCGAGCGUUAUCCGGGUUUAUUGGGGUUAAAGGGUGCGUAGGCGGAAUUUUAAGUCCGCGGUAAAAUGGCCGGGCUCAAACCGGGCCGGCCGUUGAAACUGGGGAUCUUGAGUGGGCGAGAAGUAUGCGGAAUGCGUGGUGUAGCGGUGAAAGGCAUAG